This 487-nucleotide ribosomal RNA is filed under the name uncultured bacterium. RNAcentral's name for it is "partial 16S ribosomal RNA". It matches the Rfam family "Bacterial small subunit ribosomal RNA", at positions 30 to 508 of the family's 1533-position model. The record is from RNAcentral.
AUUGAACGCUGGCGGCAUGCCUUACACAUGCAAGUCGAACGGCAGCACGGGUGCUUGCACCUGGUGGCGAGUGGCGAACGGGUGAGUAAUACAUCGGAACAUGUCCUGUAGUGGGGGAUAGCCCGGCGAAAGCCGGAUUAAUACCGCAUACGAUCUACGGAUGAAAGCGGGGGACCUUCGGGCCUCGCGCUAUAGGGUUGGCCGAUGGCUGAUUAGCUAGUUGGUGGGGUAAAGGCCUACCAAGGCGACGAUCAGUAGCUGGUCUGAGAGGACGACCAGCCACACUGGGACUGAGACACGGCCCAGACUCCUACGGGAGGCAGCAGUGGGGAAUUUUGGACAAUGGGCGAAAGCCUGAUCCAGCAAUGCCGCGUGUGUGAAGAAGGCCUUCGGGUUGUAAAGCACUUUUGUCCGGAAAGAAAUCCUUGGCCCUAAUACGGUCGGGGGAUGACGGUACCGGAAGAAUAAGCGCCGGCUAACUACGUGC